AUACGGAGGGUGCAAGCGUUAUCCGGAUUCAUAGGGUUUAAAGGGUACGUAGGCGGAUAGAUAAGUUAGUGGUGAAAUCCCGAAGCUCAACUUCGGAACUGCCAUUAAAACUGUCUAUCUUGAAUUUGGUUGAAGUGGGCGGAAUAUGACAUGUAGCGGUGAAAUGCAUAGAUAUGUCAUGGAACACCAAUAGUGAAGACAGCUCACUAAGCCAAUAUUGACGCUGAGGUACGAAAGCAUGGGUAGCGAACAGGAUUAGAAACCCGGGUAGUCC
RNAcentral lists this ribosomal RNA (274 nucleotides) under uncultured bacterium. RNAcentral describes it as "partial 16S ribosomal RNA". It matches the Rfam family "Bacterial small subunit ribosomal RNA", at positions 523 to 796 of the family's 1533-position model. The record is from RNAcentral.